RNAcentral lists this ribosomal RNA (253 nucleotides) under uncultured bacterium. Its description in RNAcentral is "partial 16S ribosomal RNA". It matches the Rfam family "Bacterial small subunit ribosomal RNA", at positions 524 to 776 of the family's 1533-position model. The record is from RNAcentral.
UACGUAGGGUGCAAGCGUUAUCCGGAAUUAUUGGGCGUAAAGAGCUCGUAGGCGGUUUGUCACGUCUGCUGUGAAAACUGGAGGCUCAACCUCCAGCCUGCAGUGGGUACGGGCAGACUAGAGUGUUGCAGGGGAGACUGGAAUUCCUGGUGUAGCGGUGAAAUGCGCAGAUAUCAGGAGGAACACCGGUGGCGAAGGCGGGACUCUGGGCCGAUACUGACGCUGAGGAGCGAAAGCGUGGGGAGCGAAACAG